UCAAUAGCCUAACGGCUGAACCAGCAACUUGGAGGAAUGUAUAGCAAUAGCUACUUGCAUCAUUGAAAAUAUGAUGCAAGAUCGACUAUGUCGAAUAAAAUUCUAGGUAGAAUUAUGAUAAUGACAUUGUCUGCCUAUGUGUCUUGACCAAAUUACGUGCCAGCAGUCGCGGUAAUACGUAGAAGACUAGUGUUAUUCAUGUUUAAUCGGUUUAAAGGGUACCUAGACGGUAAAUCAAGCCUAAAAGGAAGGAAAUAAAGGGACUAAUUUACUAGAGUUACUUAUGAGGGGGUAUUAAAGUACUGCUGGUGUAGAGAUGAAAUUCUGUCAUACCUCUUUUCAAUAGAAAAAUAAUGGCACAGGUAUAGGCGAAAGCAUCCCCUUAUGUGAUAACUGACGUUGAGGGACGAAGGCUUUGUGUAGCGAACAGGAUUAGAUACCCCAGUAGUCAAAGCAGAAAAUGAUGAAUGUCAUAGAUUAGAUAUAUAAGUUUAUUCUAUAAAUGAAAGUGUAAGCAUUCCACCUCAAGAGUAAUUUGGCAACAUUGGAACUGAAAUCAUUAGACCGUUUCUGAAACCAGUAGUGAAGUAUGUUGUUUAAUUUGAUAAUCCGCAAAAAACCUUACCACAAUUUGAAUAUUUAUAUUUUUUUUAUUGUUUUUCUUUUUAAUUUUCUUCCGAUUUUCUAGUUAAAGGAAAAUUAGAAGAAAAAGAAAAAAGAGGCAAUAAGAUAUAUUUACAAGCGUUGCACGGCUGUCUUCAGUUAAUGUCGCGAGACUAUGGUUAGUUCCAUUAAAUUAACGUAAACCCUUACUUUAUUUUUAUAUAGAGUUGUUCCCCGCUAUAUUGGAUAUGAUAACAGGGACUAAGACAAGUCAUCAUGGCCUAAAUAUUGU
RNAcentral lists this ribosomal RNA (895 nucleotides) under Melanelia agnata. RNAcentral's name for it is "SSU rRNA". It matches the Rfam family "Bacterial small subunit ribosomal RNA", at positions 368 to 1210 of the family's 1533-position model. Lineage: Eukaryota; Fungi; Ascomycota; Lecanoromycetes; Lecanorales; Parmeliaceae. The record is from RNAcentral.